AGAACGUUGGUUUUGCAGAAAUAGCCGUUUGGCAUUUUUAAAAUUUAGCCAUUUGACCCCUCAAAUUUAAUUUAACCCCAAACUUCAUAUAAUUACACAAUUUCCCAUUUCUCAACUAUAAAUACCCCUUCAUUCUUUCAUUUUAAUUCACCAAUUCAUCAAUCUUACUCAAUCUCUCUCAAGCUCUCUUUCAAUCUUUCUGUGCAAGUGCUUAAUUUUUGU
Molecule: long non-coding RNA, 222 nt
Filed under: Nicotiana benthamiana
Lineage: Eukaryota; Viridiplantae; Streptophyta; Magnoliopsida; Solanales; Solanaceae
Description: long non-coding RNA (NBEN_LNC024965)
Source: RNAcentral